This 490-nucleotide ribosomal RNA is filed under the name uncultured bacterium. RNAcentral describes it as "partial 16S ribosomal RNA". It matches the Rfam family "Bacterial small subunit ribosomal RNA", at positions 29 to 505 of the family's 1533-position model. The record is from RNAcentral.
AGUGAACGCUGGCGGUAGGCCUAACACAUGCAAGUCGAACGGCAGCACAGUAAGAGCUUGCUCUUACGGGUGGCGAGUGGCGGACGGGUGAGGAAUACAUCGGAAUCUGCUUUUUCGUGGGGGAUAACGUAGGGAAACUUACGCUAAUACCGCAUACGACCUACGGGUGAAAGCAGGGGAUCUUCGGACCUUGCGCGAUUGAAUGAGCCGAUGUCGUAUUAGCUAGUUGGCGGGGUAAAGGCCCACCAAGGCGACGAUCCGUAGCUGGUCUGAGAGGAUGAUCAGCCACACUGGAACUGAGACACGGUCCAGACUCCUACGGGAGGCAGCAGUGGGGAAUAUUGGACAAUGGGCGCAAGCCUGAUCCAGCCAUACCGCGUGGGUGAAGAAGGCCUUCGGGUUGUAAAGCCCUUUUGUUGGGAAAGAAAAGCAGCAGGUUAAUACCCCGCUGUUCUGACGGUACCCAAAGAAUAGGCACCGGCUAACUUCG